CAUCAUUCCAUUCCUAGGUAUAUACCCAAGAGAACUGAACUAUCAACUCAUGGGAGGAUAAACAACAUGUGGUAUAUGCACACCAUGGAAUAUUAUGCAGCCAGAAAAGGAAUGAAGUACUGAUACCUGCCACACCUGAACCUUAAAAACAUGCUGGGUAAAAGAAGUCAGACACAAAAAGCCACAUACGGUUCCCGAUUCUUCUCCCUCUGGGAUGAUUGUAUGCUUACCAUUUCCUCCACACCGUGAGUGGCAGCCAAUGCAGGGAUUCUGGAGGUUCUGCUUUCUGCUCCAGCUUUAAUUCCAGUCCCACAGCCAUCGCAGAAACAGGGCAGAGACGGAGCGGCCGGCACGCUGGAUGCUGUGGGCUUUGCUUUCCUCUUCUGUUUCUUGGUUCAACGGGUGGUGCUCUGGAGAACCCAGGCAUGGGAAAUAAAAGCCAGAGGAGAUCAUUUAGGAGAACAAAUGACACCUCCACAUUUCAGAGAUUCAGGAAUAAAGGAGAUACACCAAGAAGACGGUCAUCUGAAAACCAGGAAGAGGGUCCUCACCACGAACCGAAUCAGCCGGCACCUUGAUUUUGGACUUCUCAGCCUUCAGAAUCGAAAGGCUCUUCCGGCAGACUGGAGUGGGGAAAUGUUAAGAGAGGAGAAGGGUUUCAGUGUUACUGUUGUCUCUGCUGGAGGGUGGAGAGUCGGAGGCCUCAGCACAUCUGCAGUGCCAUGGAUGUGACAUCAUGUAACUGUCUGAUCACCCAUGGUGGACAGGUUUCACCUGAGCUUCCAGACGAAGAUAGACUAGGAAGAAGGACCUGGCCACCCACUUCUGAAAAAAUUGGCCACGAAAACCCUAUGAAUAGCAGCGGAACAUUGUCUGAUACAGCGCUGGAAGGUUUUAAAACUUCUGGAAAAUGAACCUAUGGACUGUGUUGCGUGGAGGAAGUGUGGGCCUUGGAGGCCGGGAUUGGAAGCUCUGCUUGAGUGUGCUGGAACACAGAGCUGGCCAAAGUGACUUCCUCUUUCAGUCUGGCUUGGCUUGCCUCCUGCGUGGUUUAGGUCCUGUUUUGGAAUGAAGUGUGGAACUCGGAUUGAUGUGGAAGUCAAGGUCAGAUAAAGAACCAUUGUCAUGGGGAGACGUAGGCAGAAAUGGGUCUGCAGAUCCACAGGGAAUGCUCU
RNAcentral lists this long non-coding RNA (1175 nucleotides) under Equus caballus (horse). RNAcentral's name for it is "lncRNA (ENSECAG00000049000.1)". Lineage: Eukaryota; Metazoa; Chordata; Mammalia; Perissodactyla; Equidae. The record is from RNAcentral.